UUGGCAGUUUUGCUGGCUCUUUUCAGUGCCGCUUUAGGACUGGACCCCUGUGAGAGCACACAAAGUCGCAAUUAUGUGGAAAGGAAAGGCUAACAAUAUGUUACGAAUAUUUUAUUCCGUUUAAACCGAUGCAAAUAUUUUUUUAA
This is a long non-coding RNA of Culex quinquefasciatus (southern house mosquito), 146 nucleotides long. RefSeq lists it as uncharacterized. Lineage: Eukaryota; Metazoa; Arthropoda; Insecta; Diptera; Culicidae. The transcript is spliced from 3 exons. The record is from RefSeq and is a predicted model, not a curated record.